GGAGGAGACACGAGUAUGGAGCUUGCGCAGUAUCUACCCAACCUGCGGCUGGCCCGUGCGAAAGAGGAAAGUGCUUCCGGCAGCCUGGUUAGGGGUGGAACCAGGAAAGCGCAGGCGUAGCAAUUGCUGCUUACUCGUAGGUAGGAGGAGGAGUUUCUCAGACCAAGGUGAUGGAGGAAGACUGGGAGGCGCUAAAAUGAGACAGACGGAGUCCCCUCUCCUGUCCGCAAACUACAAUGCCUACAGUGCCUCGGUGUCAGCAUUUACUGUGAUUCAAGCACUGUGCUACAGUGUUUUUCAUAUGUCAUGGAAAAUUGUGCCAGAAAAUUAUGGUUUGAACAUGGGCAGUUUUCUCCUACCUUCAGCUAUAUCC
Molecule: long non-coding RNA, 373 nt
Filed under: Pan troglodytes (chimpanzee)
Lineage: Eukaryota; Metazoa; Chordata; Mammalia; Primates; Hominidae
Description: long non-coding RNA NONPTRT013768
Source: RNAcentral